CUCUUCAGGGCAGGGUGCGAUUCCCUACCGGCGGUAAAGCCCGCGAGCCGUAAGGCAUGAUCCGGUGAGAUUCCGGGGCCGACAGUAUAGUCUGGAUGAAAGAAGAA
RNAcentral lists this non-coding RNA (107 nucleotides) under human gut metagenome. RNAcentral describes it as "FMN riboswitch (RFN element)". It matches the Rfam family "FMN riboswitch aptamer (RFN element)". Rfam says of the family: The RFN element is a highly conserved domain that is found frequently in the 5'-untranslated regions of prokaryotic mRNAs that encode for flavin mononucleotide (FMN) biosynthesis and transport proteins. This element is a metabolite-dependent riboswitch that directly binds FMN in the absence of proteins. RNAcentral also lists the same sequence under 1 other name. The record is from RNAcentral.